UACAGAGGUCUCAAGCGUUGUUCGGAUUCAUUGGGCGUAAAGGGUGCGUAGGUGGCGCUGUAAGUCGGGUGUGAAAUUUCGGAGCUUAACUCCGAAACUGCAUUCGAUACUGCGGUGCUUGAGGACUGGAGAGGAGACUGGAAUUCAUGGUGUAGCAGUGAAAUGCGUAGAGAUCAUGAGGAAGACCAGUGGCGAAGGCGGCAUCCUGGACCAACACUGACACUGAGGAGCGAAAGCCAGGGGAGCAAACGGG
This 253-nucleotide ribosomal RNA is filed under the name uncultured bacterium. RNAcentral's name for it is "partial 16S ribosomal RNA". It matches the Rfam family "Bacterial small subunit ribosomal RNA", at positions 524 to 776 of the family's 1533-position model. The record is from RNAcentral.